AUGGGAACGCGAAGAACCUUACCUAGACUUGACAUCUCCUGAAUAGUGUAGAGAUACAUGAAGCCCUUCGGGGCAGGAAGACAGGUGGUGCAUGGUUGUCGUCAGCUCGUGUCGUGAGAUGUUGGGUUAAGUCCCGCAACGAGCGCAACCCUUGUCCUUAGUUGCCAGCGAGUAAAGUCGGGAACUCAUGGGAGACUGCCGCAGACAAUGCGGAGGAAGGCGGGGAUGACGUCAAAUCAUCAUGCCCUUUAUGAUCUGGGCUACACACGUACUACAAUGGGCUUAAAUAGAGGGAAGCAAGACCGCGAGGUGGAGCGAACCCCAAAAACAAGCUCUCAGUUCGGAUCGCAGGCUGCAACUCGCCUGCGUGAAAUCGGAAUCGCUAGUAAUCGCAGAUCAGCAUGCUGCGGUGAAUACGCUCCCGGGUCUUGUACACACCG
This 440-nucleotide ribosomal RNA is filed under the name uncultured bacterium. RNAcentral's name for it is "bacterial SSU rRNA". It matches the Rfam family "Bacterial small subunit ribosomal RNA", at positions 954 to 1392 of the family's 1533-position model. The record is from RNAcentral.